CUCCACCUGACCCUCACUCUAGUAGUACCUAACGUCUAGUAGUAAAGUACCAGAUUUAAAUCGAUAUAUAUUUCCAGGAGCAAGUAAAUCGACUACACCCUCACGAGAAUCUAUUAAACCGUUGUAUAACCAAAAAAGGAAUAUCCCUAAAGAUGCGAAAACAAUCAAUAACCGUGUAUCAAAUUUUUCCAACCAAAGCAGUAAAAGUUUCAAGCCUCAGCUAGAAGACAUUAAGAGUUCUUACUUAUUGCUUCAGAAGAAUGUGUUGAAUCGUAGUAUGAAAUGUUCGCAGAAGAGCAACGUGAAAAGUGGGUCAGAGCUGCAUGCUUGUGAGUUCGGAAGAGUCACAGAUUACUGGCUAGACUGCAAUGUUAAUGAGAUAAAGGCUAGGCAGUAGGCCCUCUUUCACGAAAGAAACUCCUGUCCCACCUGUUUCAAGACCUGAACCAAUCACUGAAGAGAAGAGACGUAUGCUACUAUUAGAAGCGAAAAAUAAGUUCAAAACUAAGCAAUUUUUCAAUGAUGAGA
This is a long non-coding RNA of Zerene cesonia (dogface butterfly), 528 nucleotides long. RefSeq lists it as uncharacterized. The record is from RefSeq and is a predicted model, not a curated record. The transcript has 4 exons. NCBI's taxonomy places the organism in Eukaryota, Metazoa, Arthropoda, Insecta, Lepidoptera, Pieridae.